Molecule: unclassified non-coding RNA, 309 nt
Filed under: fungal sp.
Lineage: Eukaryota; Fungi
Also listed under: 1 other name
Description: partial internal transcribed spacer region
Rfam family: Eukaryotic small subunit ribosomal RNA (bases 1-46)
Source: RNAcentral
AAGUCGUAACAAGGUUUCCGUAGGUGAACCUGCGGAAGGAUCAUUGAAAAAUGUUAGACCGUCUCGGUCUGCAGUAAAUCCGAAUAGGAAACUGUUCGACGCCUCAAAAGCCCCGUCUUUGCGGACUUGGCUGCUGAGGCAUCACUGGCGUGACUCACUUUUGAAUCGCGCCUGUACUUUGUUUCUAACCCGCCUUUUGAUUUGACUGAUGUUUGUUGUUUUGGAGGGUUCUGUUUGCACUCCUUAUGGGUGUUUCAGUACCUGAAAAUAACUAAAUUACAACUUUUAACAAUGGAUCUCUUGGCUCUC